This is a small nucleolar RNA of Heterocephalus glaber (naked mole-rat), 132 nucleotides long. Its record names the gene U3. It matches the Rfam family "Small nucleolar RNA U3". From Rfam's summary of the family: Small nucleolar RNAs (snoRNAs) are involved in the processing and modification of rRNA in the nucleolus. The record is from Ensembl. NCBI's taxonomy places the organism in Eukaryota, Metazoa, Chordata, Mammalia, Rodentia, Bathyergidae.
AAGCCUAUACUUUUCAGGGAUCAUUUCUAUAGCUUGUUACUAGAGGUUUCUCAGAUUAUGUAGAGUACUGGGGGAAAAAAAAUAAUGGGAUGUAGGAAGAUUACUCUUUCUCAAAUGAGAAGGGGAUUAAGA